Molecule: unclassified non-coding RNA, 387 nt
Filed under: soil metagenome
Description: partial contains 5.8S ribosomal RNA, internal transcribed spacer 2, and large subunit ribosomal RNA
Rfam family: 5.8S ribosomal RNA (bases 1-120)
Source: RNAcentral
GAUGAAGAACGCAGCGAAAUGCGAUAAGUAAUGUGAAUUGCAGAAUUCAGUGAAUCAUCGAAUCUUUGAACGCACCUUGCACCCUUUGGCAUUCCGAAGGGUAGGCUCGUUUGAGUGUCAUUGUACUCUCACACUCUCCGAUCCUAUGGAUUCGGGGAGCGGUGGACUUGGGUGUUGCUGCCUUUCCUUGUGGCUCACCUCAAAUGUGUCAGUGCACCUCUUGGUUGGACAUAGUACGGCGUGAUAAGUGUCUUCGCCGGCACCUCGCAAGAGGGUGGCCGAUCGGGAGCUCUGUGCUUUCAAACCGUCUUCGGACAAUUUCUGACAACUUGACCUCAAAUCGAGUAGGACUACCCGCUGAACUUAAGCAUAUCAAUAAGCGGAGGA